GACGAACGCUGGCGGCGUGCUUAACACAUGCAAGUCGAGCGGUAAGGCCCUUUCGGGGGUACACGAGCGGCGAACGGGUGAGUAACACGUGGGUGACCUGCCCUCAGCUCUGGGAUAAGCCUGGGAAACCGGGUCUAAUACUGGAUAUGACUCCAUGACGCAUGUUGUGGGGUGGAAAGCCUUGUGCGGCUGAGGAUGGGCCCGCGGCCUAUCAGCUUGUUGGUGGGGUGANGGCCUACCAAGGCGACGACGGGUAGCCGGCCUGAGAGGGCGACCGGCCACACUGGGACUGAGACACGGCCCAGACUCCUACGGGAGGGCGAGCAGUGGGGAAGUCUUGCGCAAUGGGCGAAAGCCUGACGCAGCGACGCCGCGUGAGGGAGUGACGG
Molecule: ribosomal RNA, 389 nt
Filed under: uncultured bacterium
Lineage: Bacteria
Description: bacterial SSU rRNA
Rfam family: Bacterial small subunit ribosomal RNA
Source: RNAcentral